UGCCUCGUGGAAAGUCUCCAGGACUUCACCGCCGCAGCUUUUUCCCAAAGCUGGCGCUCAUGCGGGGCAUAGACACCCAUGGACUUCAAGAACCAGUUGCCCCAGUCUGCUUCAGAGUGAGAAGAAUGCAGCUGAGUUUUCCACCAUGCUUGUCUGGUGCUAUGCUGAAUUGACUCAGCCAAGAUUCCAUGCUUCUUCCAUGCUGAGCUGUGGUUCCAGAUGGAUAAGCAAGCAGGCCUGCUGUGGGGGAGCUGUGGAGAAGGCCUUCAACACCACCGCUGCCAUAGCUGAAGCUGCUUAAUCUUUCACCUGGAGGACUUCUCUGCAUUCCAGCCACGGGGACCCACAUCUUCAAGCAAGCUAGCCAGGCUGCUGAGUCUGCUAAGUGCUCCCACAAGUCCAGCAGUGACAACACCACCUCCCAGAACCUGCCUAGGAUGCCAAGCUGCCUUCUUCCAGCCACACCACCUGACUAAAGACUCCAGAGACUACACUGAGAACCAGAGAGACACGACAAACUCUAGAGACAUGCCAAACUCCAGAGACACAUGCCAAGAUCCUGAGAUACAUGGUAAAUCCUACAGAAGACAGAUCCAGACCCUCUAGCUAUAGAUGAACUUUUUUGCCAACAUCAAAUAGCUAAAGUUACAUGUUAGUAAGGAAAACAUAAUGUCUAUCUAGAUUAGUCAGCUGUUAUUACCCUUAAACUGUGCCACCUCUAUUCAAUUGAUUCAAUGAUCCCUUGCCUUCCCAACCCCCACCCUCAACUUCCCUUACUCUGUGACUUAAUUGUGCUAACCCCUCCGGCCUAAAUAGUGCUU
Molecule: long non-coding RNA, 821 nt
Organism: Grammomys surdaster
Lineage: Eukaryota; Metazoa; Chordata; Mammalia; Rodentia; Muridae
Exons: 3
Source: RefSeq, a predicted model, not a curated record